CUGGGCUUGACAUACACCGGAUCGGGCUAGAGAUAGUCUUUCCCUUUGUGGCUGGUGUACAGGUGGUGCAUGGUUGUCGUCAGCUCGUGUCGUGAGAUGUUGGGUUAAGUCCCGCAACGAGCGCAACCCUUGUCUUAUGUUGCCAGCAUUUGGUUGGGGACUCAUGAGAGACUGCCGGGGUCAACUCGGAGGAAGGUGGGGAUGACGUCAAAUCAUCAUGCCCCUUAUGUCCAGGGCUUCACACAUGCUACAAUGGUCGGUACAACGCGCAGCGACACUGUGAGGUGGAGCGAAUCGCUGAAAGCCGGCCUUAGUUCGGAUUGGGGUCUGCAACUCGACCCCAUGAAGUCGGAGUCGCUAGUAAUCGCAGAUCAGCAAUGCUGCGCCAUCGG
This 392-nucleotide ribosomal RNA is filed under the name uncultured Corynebacterium sp. RNAcentral describes it as "bacterial SSU rRNA". It matches the Rfam family "Bacterial small subunit ribosomal RNA", at positions 975 to 1363 of the family's 1533-position model. The record is from RNAcentral. Lineage: Bacteria; Bacillati; Actinomycetota; Actinomycetes; Mycobacteriales; Corynebacteriaceae.